RNAcentral lists this long non-coding RNA (297 nucleotides) under Salvia miltiorrhiza (redroot sage). Its description in RNAcentral is "long non-coding RNA (SMIL_LNC014417)". Lineage: Eukaryota; Viridiplantae; Streptophyta; Magnoliopsida; Lamiales; Lamiaceae. The record is from RNAcentral.
UCUUGAGUGAUUGUUCGAGCAUGCAUGUUUCUCACUAGAACUUGUCUUGGUUUCUCCCUCGAGGUCACAUAGGGUGCUUAAUAACUUUGAGAUGAUAGAAGGUCAUCUUUACUAGCAUAUAUUUCCCAUAUUUGUCCUUUUACUAUAUAUGAUCCUAGUUCGCCCCCUUUGAGCCCUAUUAUCCAUAUUCUUUGAUUUAGCCUUAGGUGGGAGCUUGGAAAUUGUUGAUAUGGGGUAGUUGGCGUUGUGGAGAUGUGUGAUUAUGAAUUAUGAAUUUUGUUCUUGAUUGGAAAAAAU